AGCGAACGCUGGCGGCAGGCUUAACACAUGCAAGUCGAGCGGACCUUUCGGGGUCAGCGGCGGACGGGUGAGUAACGCGUGGGAACGUGCCUUCCGGUUCGGAAUAACCCUGGGAAACUAGGGCUAAUACCGGAUACGCCCUUAUGGGGAAAGGUUUACUGCCGGAAGAUCGGCCCGCGUCUGAUUAGCCAGUUGGUGGGGUAACGGCCUACCAAGGCGACGAUCAGUAGCUGGUCUGAGAGGAUGACCGGCCACACUGGGACUGAGACACGGCCCAGACCCCGAGGGGGGGAAGCAGUGGGGAAUAUUGAACAAGGGGCGAAAGCCGGAUCCAGCCACGCCGCGGGAAAGAAGAAGGCUUUAGGUUUGAAAAGUUCUUUUCUAGGGGACGAAAAUGAGGGUACGGGAGAAAAAAGCCCCGGCUAAUUUCGUG
RNAcentral lists this ribosomal RNA (433 nucleotides) under uncultured bacterium. Its description in RNAcentral is "partial 16S ribosomal RNA". It matches the Rfam family "Bacterial small subunit ribosomal RNA", at positions 30 to 507 of the family's 1533-position model. The record is from RNAcentral.